GGGGGCGACACGGCUUCGACGUGUCUAGGGAACGUGAAGCAGCGUGCCGAGGUCCCGGGACCUCGAUAAUCCACCGGGAACACUUCAAUAGCUGCCAACUCUGAUCUGGCGCUGGCCGCGUAAGGUUCUCCUUAUCGCUGGCCCGUCUCCCGAACCGCCCGCCCGAGGCGGUUCCUGAGACGUCGACGAGUCGGGCUGGCCGUCCGGAUGUGCUGUCCGUCCGGCGGCGAGACUUCAGCCAGCUGGUCCCGAAUUCGGCCGAUCGCCGGCCGGCGAGGGACGAGACGAAACGGCGAUCUACGCACGUAGGCGCUUUGCCGGAUCUAGUCGCGGACGCGGGUUCGACUCCCGCCGCCUCCAUUU
This 363-nucleotide transfer-messenger RNA is filed under the name Gemmatimonadota bacterium. It matches the Rfam family "transfer-messenger RNA". Rfam says of the family: Bacterial tmRNA, also known as 10Sa RNA or SsrA, is named for its dual tRNA and mRNA-like properties. Its role is to liberate the mRNA from a stalled ribosome. The record is from RNAcentral. Lineage: Bacteria; Pseudomonadati; Gemmatimonadota.